Molecule: long non-coding RNA, 248 nt
Filed under: Hordeum vulgare
Lineage: Eukaryota; Viridiplantae; Streptophyta; Magnoliopsida; Poales; Poaceae
Description: long non-coding RNA (HVUL_LNC017973)
Source: RNAcentral
CCCUUCACUUUAUCUUUAUUCACAUAUACAUCCUUUUUUGUCAAAGAAAUUCCUAAUGAUUUUUUAGGAAAAAAGCCAGGCGCGCAGCCGACAGGAUUCGAACCCGCGUCGAGCCGCUGGGUGUGCACGCUCCUUGCCGUUCCGCUACUACACCUAUUGCGUGAACAAUCACGCGUUAUUUUAACCAGAAAGUGAUCAGUGUCGCCAUCACUUGUUCGAACACUUGUCACAACAUCAUCGUACAUGUC